CGCAAGCCUGACGGAGCAACGCCGCGUGAGGGAUGAAGGCCUCUGGGCUGUAAACUUCUUUUAUCAAGGAAGAAGAUCUGACGGUACUUGAUGAAUAAGCCACGGCUAAUUCCGUGCCAGCAGCUGCGGUAAUACGGGAGUGGCAAGCGUUAUCCGGAAUUAUUGGGCGUAAAGCGUCCGCAGGCGGUCUUGUAAGUCUGUCGUUAAAACGUGGAGCUUAACUCCAUUUCGGCGGUGGAAACUACAAGACUAGAGUGUGGUAGGGGCAGAGGGAAUUCCCGGUGUAGCGGUGAAAUGCGUAGAUAUCGGGAAGAACACCAGUGGCGAAAGCGCUCUGCUGGGCCAUAACUGACGCUCAUGGACGAAAGCCAGGGGAGCGAAAG
Molecule: ribosomal RNA, 383 nt
Filed under: uncultured bacterium
Lineage: Bacteria
Description: bacterial SSU rRNA
Rfam family: Bacterial small subunit ribosomal RNA
Source: RNAcentral